CGUACACUCCUACGGGAGGCAGCAGUGGGGAAUAUUGGACAAUGGGCGCAAGCCUGAUCCAGCCAUGCCGCGUGAGUGAUGAAGGCCCUAGGGUUGUAAAGCUCUUUCACCGGUGAAGAUAAUGACGGUAACCGGAGAAGAAGCCCCGGCUAACUUCGUGCCAGCAGCCGCGGUAAUACGAAGGGGGCUAGCGUUGUUCGGAUUUACUGGGCGUAAAGCGCACGUAGGCGGACUAUUAAGUCAGGGGUGAAAUCCCGGGGCUCAACCCCGGAACUGCCUUUGAUACUGGUAGUCUUGAGUUCGAGAGAGGUGAGUGGAAUUCCGAGUGUAGAGGUGAAAUUCGUAGAUAUUCGGAGGAACACCAGUGGCGAAGGCGGCUCACUGGCUCGAUACUGACGCUGAGGUGCGAAAGCGUGGGGGGCAAACAGGAUUAGAAACCCUGGUAGUCCCAU
Molecule: ribosomal RNA, 452 nt
Filed under: uncultured organism
Description: partial 16S ribosomal RNA
Rfam family: Bacterial small subunit ribosomal RNA
Source: RNAcentral